ACAGCAGUCGCCGCGGGAACACGUAGGUGGCAAGCGUUGUCCGGAAUUAUUGGGCGUAAAGGGCUCGCAGGCGGUUUCUUAAGUCUGAUGUGAAAGCCCCCGGCUCAACCGGGGAGGGUCAUUGGAAACUGGGAAACUUGAGUGCAGAAGAGGAGAGUGGAAUUCCACGUGUAGCGGUGAAAUGCGUAGAGAUGUGGAGGAACACCAGUGGCGAAGGCGACUCUCUGGUCUGUAACUGACGCUGAGGAGCGAAAGCGUGGGGAGCGUACAGGAUUAGAUACCCCCGUAGUCCCUGUCUCUUAUAC
Molecule: ribosomal RNA, 305 nt
Filed under: uncultured bacterium
Lineage: Bacteria
Description: partial 16S ribosomal RNA
Rfam family: Bacterial small subunit ribosomal RNA
Source: RNAcentral